Molecule: transfer RNA, 71 nt
Filed under: Loxodonta africana (African savanna elephant)
Lineage: Eukaryota; Metazoa; Chordata; Mammalia; Proboscidea; Elephantidae
Rfam family: tRNA
About the family: Transfer RNA (tRNA) molecules are approximately 80 nucleotides in length.
Source: Rfam by way of RNAcentral
GCACUGGUGGUUAAAUGGUGGAAUUCUCACCUUCCAUUUGAGAAACCUGGGUUCAAUUUCAAGCCAAGGCA